This 164-nucleotide ribosomal RNA is filed under the name Leptopyrum fumarioides. RNAcentral's name for it is "5.8S ribosomal RNA". It matches the Rfam family "5.8S ribosomal RNA". Rfam says of the family: 5.8S ribosomal RNA (5.8S rRNA) is a component of the large subunit of the eukaryotic ribosome. It is transcribed by RNA polymerase I as part of the 45S precursor that also contains 18S and 28S rRNA. Functionally, it is thought that 5.8S rRNA may be involved in ribosome translocation. The record is from RNAcentral. Lineage: Eukaryota; Viridiplantae; Streptophyta; Magnoliopsida; Ranunculales; Ranunculaceae.
UGAACGACUCUCGGCAACGGAUAUCUCGGCUCUUGNAUCGAUGANGAACGUAGCGAAAUSCGAUACUUGGUGUGAAUUGCAGAAUCCCGUGAACCAUCGAGUCUUUGAACGCAAGUUGCGCCCGAGACCUUCUGGUCGAGGGCACGUCUGCCUGGGCGUCACGC